AGAGUUUGAUCCUGGCUCAGAAUCACGCUGGCGGCGUGCCUAACCUUGCAAGUCGAACGCGAAAGGGGCUUCGGCCCUGAGUACAGUGGCGAACGGGUGAGUAACACGUGGGUGAUCUACCUCUGAGUGGGGGAUAACGUUCCGAAAGGAGCGCUAAUACCGCAUGACGUUCUGGGUUUGAAGACCUGGAAACCAAAGUCGGGGACCGCAAGGCCUGACGCUUGGAGAGGAGCCCGCGCCUGAUUAGCUAGUUGGCGGGGUAAUGGCCCACCAAGGCGACGAUCAGUAGCCGGCCUGAGAGGGCGGACGGCCACACUGGGACUGAGACACGGCCCAGACUCCUACGGGAGGCAGCAGUGGGGAAUUGUUCGCAAUGGGCGCAAGCCUGACGACGCAACGCCGCGUGGAGGAUGAAGGCCUUCGGGUCGUAAACUCCUGUUGAUCGGGAAGAAUGGGCUCCGGGUUAAUACGCCGGGGCAAUGACGGUACCGAUUGAGGAAGCCACGGCUAACUCUGUGCCAGCAGCCGCGGUAAUACAGAGGUGGCAAGCGUUGUUCGGAAUUACUGGGCGUAAGGGCACGUAGGCGGCCUUCUAAGUCAGACGUGAAAUCCCCAGGCUUAACUUGGGAACUGCGUCUGAUACUGGGAGGCUUGAGUGCGGGAGAGGGAUGUGGAAUUCCAGGUGUA
RNAcentral lists this ribosomal RNA (687 nucleotides) under uncultured Acidobacteriota bacterium. RNAcentral describes it as "bacterial SSU rRNA". It matches the Rfam family "Bacterial small subunit ribosomal RNA", at positions 8 to 677 of the family's 1533-position model. Lineage: Bacteria; Pseudomonadati; Acidobacteriota. The record is from RNAcentral.